Molecule: ribosomal RNA, 390 nt
Filed under: Stevenia sp. n. 4 AT-2015
Lineage: Eukaryota; Metazoa; Arthropoda; Insecta; Diptera; Rhinophoridae
Description: partial small subunit ribosomal RNA
Source: RNAcentral
GAUACCCUGUUAUUUAAAAUGUAAGUUUAAAAAUUAAGGUAGUAAUAGUUAUGUUCUUUAAACUUAAAAAAUUUGGCGGUAUUUUAGUCUAUUCAGAGGAACCUGUUUUGUAAUCGAUAAUCCACGAUGGACCUUACUUAAUUUUGUAAUCAGUUUAUAUACCGUUGUUAUUAGAAUAUUUUAUAAGAAUGUUAAUUUUCAUAAUUUUUAUAAGAAAAUAUAUCAAAUCAAGGUGUAGCUUAUAUUUAAGUAUAAAUGGGUUACAAUAAAUUUAUUUAAGCGGAUAUAAAUUUGAAAUAUUUAUUUAAGAUGGAUUUGAUAGUAAAAUUAUAUAGAUUAAUAAUUUGAUUUUAGCUCUAAGAUAUGUACAAAUCGCCCGUCACUCUCUGA